RNAcentral lists this ribosomal RNA (253 nucleotides) under uncultured bacterium. Its description in RNAcentral is "partial 16S ribosomal RNA". It matches the Rfam family "Bacterial small subunit ribosomal RNA", at positions 524 to 776 of the family's 1533-position model. The record is from RNAcentral.
CACGUAGGGCGCGAGCGUUGUCCGGAAUUAUUGGGCGUAAAGAGCUCGUAGGCGGCCUGCUGCGUCCGCUGUGAAAGCCCGGGGCUUAACCCCGGGUCGGCAGUGGAUACGGGCAGGCUAGAGGUAGGUAGGGGAGAAUGGAAUUCCCGGUGUAGCGGUGAAAUGCGCAGAUAUCAGGAGGAACACCGGUGGCGAAGGCGGGUCUCUGGGCCGUAACUGACGCUGAGGAGCGAAAGCGUGGGGAGCGAACAGG